Molecule: ribosomal RNA, 402 nt
Filed under: uncultured bacterium
Lineage: Bacteria
Description: bacterial SSU rRNA
Rfam family: Bacterial small subunit ribosomal RNA
Source: RNAcentral
CUAGGAAUAUUGGACAAUGGGGGCAACCCUGAUCCAGCCAUGCCGCGUGAGUGAAGAAGGCCUUCGGGUUGUAAAGCUCUUUCAAUAGUGAAGAUGAUGACGGUAACUAUAGAAGAAGCCCCGGCUAACUUCGUGCCAGCAGCCGCGGUAAUACGAAGGGGGCUAGCGUUGUUCGGAUUUACUGGGCGUAAAGCGCAUGUAGGCGGUUUAGUGAGUUAGAGGUGAAAGCCCGGGGCUCAACCCCGGAAUUGCCUUUAAUACCGCUAGGCUAGAGUAUGGUAGAGGAUAGUGGAAUUCCCAGUGUAGGAGUGAAAUCCGUAGAUACUGGGAGGAACACCAGUGGCGAAGGCGGCUAUCUGGACCAUUACUGACGCUGAGAUGCGAAAGCGUGGGGAGCAAACA